RNAcentral lists this ribosomal RNA (406 nucleotides) under uncultured bacterium. RNAcentral's name for it is "partial 16S ribosomal RNA". It matches the Rfam family "Bacterial small subunit ribosomal RNA", at positions 30 to 526 of the family's 1533-position model. The record is from RNAcentral.
AUUGAACGCUGGCGGCAGGCCUAACACAUGCAAGUCGAACGAGUGGCGGACGGGUGAGUAAUGUCUGGGAAACUGUCCGAUGGCGGGGGAUAACUACUGUAAAAGGUAGCUCUUACCGCAUACCCUAGGAUGUGCCCAGAUGGGAUUAGCGAGUGGGUGGGGUAAAGGCUCACCAAGGCGACGAUCCCUAGCUGGUCUGAGAGGAUGACCAGCCACACUGGAACUGAGACACGGUCCAGACUCCUACGGGAGGCAGCAGUGGGGAAUAUUGCACAAUGGGGGCAAGCCUGAUGCAGCCAUGCCGCGUGUGUGAAGAAGGCCUUCGGGUUGUAAAGUACUUUCAGCGAGGAGGCGUUACCCGCAGAAGAAGCACCGGCUAACUCCGUGCCAGCAGCCGCGGUAAUUC